AGUGAACGCUGGCGGUAGGCCUAACACGUGCAAGUCGAACGGCAGCACAGUAAGAGCUUGCUCUUACGGGUGGCGAGUGGCGGACGGGUGAGGAAUACAUCGGAAUCUACUUUUUCGUGGGGGAUAACGUAGGGAAACUUACGCUAAUACCGCAUACGACCUACGGGUGAAAGCAGGGGAUCUUCGGACCUUGCGCGAUUGAAUGAGCCGCUGUCGGAUUAGCUAGUUGGCGGGGUAAAGGCCCACCAAGGCGACGAUCCGUAGCUGGUCUGAGAGGAUGAUCAGCCACAUUGGAACUGAGACACGGUCCAGACUCCUACGGGAGGCAGCAGUGGGGAAUAUUGGACAAUGGGCGCAAGCCUGAUCCAGCCAUACCGCGUGGGUGAAGAAGGCCUUCGGGGUGUAAAGCCCUUUUGUUGGGAAAGAAAAGCAGCAGCUUAAUACCCCGCUGUUCUGACGGUACCCAAAGAAUAAGCACCGGCUAACUUCGUG
This 492-nucleotide ribosomal RNA is filed under the name uncultured bacterium. Its description in RNAcentral is "partial 16S ribosomal RNA". It matches the Rfam family "Bacterial small subunit ribosomal RNA", at positions 29 to 507 of the family's 1533-position model. The record is from RNAcentral.